GGGGGGUUAGUUAAGUGGUAUAACUACGGUCUCCAAAACCGUCGUCGGGAGUCCGAUUCUUCCACCCCCCG
This 71-nucleotide transfer RNA is filed under the name Parcubacteria bacterium C7867-006. RNAcentral's name for it is "tRNA-Trp". It matches the Rfam family "tRNA". From Rfam's summary of the family: Transfer RNA (tRNA) molecules are approximately 80 nucleotides in length. Their secondary structure includes four short double-helical elements and three loops (D, anti-codon, and T loops). The record is from RNAcentral. Lineage: Bacteria; Candidatus Parcubacteria.